Molecule: ribosomal RNA, 896 nt
Filed under: Triticum aestivum (bread wheat)
Lineage: Eukaryota; Viridiplantae; Streptophyta; Magnoliopsida; Poales; Poaceae
Description: partial small subunit ribosomal RNA
Source: RNAcentral
UGGCAACCGAAGUUCAGCGACAUGGCAACUGCAGUUAAACGAACAUGGACGAGGGUCUGGACCAUGGCAACUGCGGGACGCGCGGUGACUGUCACGCGGGCGUGCAGGGCCACGAGGUACGAGGCCUGACGUACGGGGCGUGUGGUACGUUCGCCCACACGCACGCGUGUGAGAGGGAUCGGGAGGGGGAAAAAGAGGUGUGUGGGCUGUUCCUCUUAUACACCACACAAAAUGUGUGGGCAGCCCCCCCCCUAACGCCCACACGUGUGGCAUUUAUCGGCGUCCUUAUUUUUAUGUUAGAGAACGAUGUCGCACUACUUCCAGCACCAAAGCAACCUGAUUUUUUUGCUCUAAUGAAGUGCAAAGCUGGAGAAACAAGGGAAAACAUAGGCACUUCUAUCAAUACGGUUAGCACGACAAAACUAGAGGGGCGUUAGAUGGUUAGCGCCUUAGAGUAUAGACAAAGAAAAUAUACUUCAUUAUGUACUAUUUGUUCAUCGUGACCUUUUGCAGAGAAAAUGGCGAUGUUCCCGUCAAUAGUGCAGAAUGAUAUAUUACUGAUUACUCCCUCCAUCCAAGAUAAAUUAUUGAUUACUCCCUUGAUCUAAGAUUAAAAAGCCUGAGGAAUAUUGUUCUAGGACCAAGGCAUGCAUAUACAUUAACUUACUUUGUGUCAUACAUGCAACCAAUAAAGGCAAAUUUUAACAUGGUCCCUCUUACCUCAUGUUUUCACAUGGGAGGUAAGAAAGACUUACUCAGACGGACUACUUAAUGAAAUAAACGGCUUAGAUCUGUUAUAUACUAUUACCGCUUAUGUGAAAAGAGGUGGUUUGUGGGAGAAAAUCAAUUGGCCCGGCCAACAGUUGCGGCGGCCUUGCGCCGGCAGAUUGGGUACG